UAUGUAGGCAGCAAGCGUUGUUCGGAAUUACUGGGCGUAAAGAGUGUGUAGGCGGUGCUCCAAGUCUGGUGUGAAAUCUCCCGGCUUAACUGGGAGGGUGCAUUAGAAACUGGAAUGCUAGAGGAUGGGAGAGGUAAGCGGAAUUCCUGGUGUAGCGGUGAAAUGCGUAGAUAUCAGGAGGAACACCUGUGGUGUAGACAGCUUACUGGACCAUUUCUGACGCUGAGACACGAAAGCGUGGGUAGCAAACAGG
This 253-nucleotide ribosomal RNA is filed under the name uncultured bacterium. RNAcentral describes it as "partial 16S ribosomal RNA". It matches the Rfam family "Bacterial small subunit ribosomal RNA", at positions 524 to 776 of the family's 1533-position model. The record is from RNAcentral.